This 810-nucleotide ribosomal RNA is filed under the name uncultured bacterium. RNAcentral describes it as "bacterial SSU rRNA". It matches the Rfam family "Bacterial small subunit ribosomal RNA", at positions 44 to 874 of the family's 1533-position model. The record is from RNAcentral.
GUGCUUAACACAUGCAAGUCGAACGAUGAAGCCUAGCUUGCUAGGUGGAUUAGUGGCGCACGGGUGAGUAAUAUAUAGAUAACGUGCCUCUUAGUCUGGGAUAGCCAUUGGAAACGAUGAUUAAUACUGGAUACUCCUUCUCUUUAUAAUAAGAGUUGGGAAAGUUUUUCGCUAAGAGAUCGGUCUAUAUCCCAUCAGCUUGUUGGUAGUGUAAGAGACUACCAAGGCAAUGACGGGUAGCGGGUUUGAGAGGAUGAUCCGCCACACUGGUACUGAGACACGGACCAGACUCCUACGGGAGGCAGCAGUGAGGAAUAUUGCACAAUGGAGGAAACUCUGAUGCAGCAACGCCGCGUGGAGGAUGACGCAUUUCGGUGUGUAAACUCCUUUUAUAGGUCAAGAAAAUGACGGUAGCCUAUGAAUAAGCACCGGCUAACUCCGUGCCAGCAGCCGCGGUAAUACGGAGGGUGCAAGCGUUAUUCGGAAUCACUGGGCGUAAAGGACACGUAGGCGGGAAGCCAAGUCUGAUGUGAAAUCCUACAGCUUAACUGUAGAACUGCAUUGGAAACUGGUUACCUAGAGUAUGGGAGGGGGAGAUGGAAUUAGUGGUGUAGGGGUAAAAUCCGUAGAUAUCACUAGGAAUACCUAAAGCGAAGGCGAUCUCCUGGAACAUUACUGACGCUAAGGUGUGAAAGCGUGGGGAGCAAACGGGAUUAGAUACCCCGGUAGUCCACGCCCUAAACGAUGUUCACUAGUCGUCGGGAUGCUAGUCAUCUCGGUGAUGCACUUAACAGAUUAAGUGAACCGCCU